Molecule: transfer RNA, 65 nt
Filed under: Andrena nigroaenea
Lineage: Eukaryota; Metazoa; Arthropoda; Insecta; Hymenoptera; Andrenidae
Description: tRNA-Asp
Source: RNAcentral
AAAGAAUUAGUUAAAAAAUAACAUUAAAUUGUCAUUUUAAAAUUAUUAAUACAUAAUAUUUUUUC